Molecule: transfer RNA, 65 nt
Filed under: Dardanus aspersus
Lineage: Eukaryota; Metazoa; Arthropoda; Malacostraca; Decapoda; Diogenidae
Description: tRNA-Leu
Source: RNAcentral
UCUAAAAUGGCAGAUGAAUGUGAUAGGCUUAGGACCUUUUUAUGGGAAGUAAUUCUCUUUUAGAA